RNAcentral lists this ribosomal RNA (494 nucleotides) under uncultured bacterium. RNAcentral's name for it is "partial 16S ribosomal RNA". It matches the Rfam family "Bacterial small subunit ribosomal RNA", at positions 28 to 507 of the family's 1533-position model. The record is from RNAcentral.
GACGAACGCUGGCGGCGUGCUUAACACAUGCAAGUCGAACGGUGAAGCGCCUUCCUUUUUGGUGGGUGUGGAUGAGUGGCGAACGGGUGAGUAACACGUGAGUAACCUGCCCCCUUCUUCUGGAUAACCGCAUGAAAGUGUGGCUAAUACGGGAUAUUCUGGGUCUGUCGCAUGAUGGGUCUGGGAAAGAUAUUGUUUCGGUGGGGGAUGGGCUCGCGGCCUAUCAGCUUGUUGGUGGGGUGAUGGCCUACCAAGGCGGUGACGGGUAGCCGGCCUGAGAGGGUGGACGGUCACACUGGGACUGAGACACGGCCCAGACUCCUACGGGAGGCAGCAGUGGGGAAUAUUGCACAACGGGCGCAAGCCUGAUGCAGCGACGCCGCGUGAGGGAUGGAGGCCUUCGGGUUGUGAACCUCUUUCGCCAGUGAAGCAGGCCUGCCUCGUUUGUGGGUGGGUUGACGGUAGCUGGAGAAGAAGCGCCGGCUAACUACGUG